GGCAGUAACAGUAGUCAUCUCAGAGGCACCUCCCACGGCACAGGACAGGGCCUGGCACAGGACAAAUCUCCGGUGCAUUUAAGUCAGUUGCUCGCCAUCGUCAUUCCCCUCACGUGUGAGCACAGCUUUGCAGACCACGAGCCCCGCGGUAGACGGUCUUUAUCACAUCGUGGCCCCAGGCUUCUGCGUUCCAGCACCUGUGUGACUCUGCCCAGUCUGCAUCGCCACAGGGAUCGAUAUAUGAAGAAAUAGUUAACACGGUAACUGUCUGAUCCUUGUUAUGGAUUUUUUAGCCAUUUGAGGCUCUGGGGGCUUCCUCGCUUUGAGUCAGUACUUACUAAAUUUAGCUUUUCUAGUUUUGGGUAUUAUGCUUAUAAAGAAUUGAGGUGGGUGUUAAAAUUAUCAUUUGGGAAAAUUCUCCUAUUGCCUGUUUUUCUAGUUCAGAUUGCAGUCCUGUCCUGUGGUCCUGACAGCUCUUGAACAUGCACACAUGUGUGUUUGCUGCAUUAAAGUCACACAAAAUUCUUUCACUGAUGACAAUGGACAGCCUUAUUUUAUAGGUUGCUUGUACUUGAAAAGCCCACCCCUCCCCAUAUUUAUAAUUUAUUACUUUGAAUGAAAUGGGUUCAUCAUUGUGCUUUUUUGCCUGAAUCACAUCCCAACUGGACUACAUAGACCAUCAUGUGAAGAAGUAGAAAAUAACUUGUUUACACUAAAAACAAACCUGCCAAUAUAUUUUAGCUGAACAGUGUACUAUAAAUAGUAAGCUAUUUGCUAACAGUUUCCAUUUUAAACUUAGAAUUGCUGCUGAUGGAUACUAACUUGGCACUAUUCCUGGGAGCUUUGCUUCAGCCAUUUAGUUGUUAGAUAGCAGUUAAAAUAUAUAGGACCUUCACAUUCGGAGAAACUACUGUCGAUGGGGCAAAGGAUAAACUUGUCUGCAAUAUGAAUCCACAAGUAUUUUUAAAAUGAAUGAAAAUUUGCAUUGAUUCUUUGCCAUUAAUCAAGGUAAGAGAGUCUCUUUCAACAUUUCUGUGUUACUUACAAAUCAAAGAUAAACUUACAGAAAAGUAAUACACUAAUGCUUUUGGACGAUCAUGAUUUCUUUCUUUAUACUUUUCUUGUCUGGUGCGUCAUCAGAUUACAGAUGUGGAUAUAUUCUCUGGUUCUUCCUCUCGUUUCAAUCAGAAUUUAGCCAGGGUUCCUCGCUGAAGAUCAUGUUCACAGGAAUUUCUGUUUCUUUUUCCUCAGCACUGGGGGUUAAACCCAAGGGUGCCUACCACUGAGCUACAUCCCUCGCCCUUUUUAAAAGCCUUAUUGAGACAGGGUCUCACUGUGUUCUCGGGCUGGCCUUGAACUUUCGAUCUUCCUGCUGAGCUCAGACUUCCAUGUCACCAGGAUCACAGGUGUGUACUGUAAUGCCCAGAGAAAUCUCCCAGUUUUUAAAACCACAGACUAAUAGGUGAAAGGGCUCAGUUAUUUUUUCAUUACAGCAGCUUUUCUGGUGUUGAUGGUAGGUAAAAAUAAUAAGAUUUUUGUUUGUUUGUUUGUUUUGGUACCGGGGAAUCAGCUCGGGUCCUUGUGCUUGUGCAGCAGGUGACGAAUCCACUGAGCUAAAUCCCUGGCCAAUAAAUAAGACUUUUUAAAACUUCAUUUGGCAAAGUCUGCUGAGAACUAGAAAGAUGGUUUGUUUUUUAAAUAAAUGUUUUGACAUAGAUGUAGUUGAAAGGGAAUGGAAAAUCAUUUCACAGUUGAUAGAUAUCAGAACAAACUUUCAGCUCAUGACUGGAGUUGAAGUAUGUCAUCUAUACACUAGUUUUAUGUUGCAUACUAUAAAUAUGCAAUGAAAUACAGGACAGCUUUGUUCACAUUUGAAUCAUUAGAGAAGCUUUGGACAAAACCCCGGGCCUCUUGACGACGUAAUCUGUGGGACUGAAACUUAGGCAGGCAUCUGUGUUCGGGAGCCCUAAGGUGAUUCUAAUGCUCGCCUCGGCUGCAGAGUUCCCAGUAAAUGCUUUGGCAGUUGACACACGGGAACGUGCACAGUAUCACACACAUGUGCAGAUAUGCAGGUGCACAAAGUUACAGACACAGAGAGCAAACUGCCAUUCUUUAUGUUGCAUUGUGAAUUUUACUCUAAUAGUGACAUUUAUUAUCAGAAGGGUAACAUUCAAUGAGCUGAGGACCCGAGUUCUCAGGGCCCUUACGGAGCGAUCCCCUGACUUCCCCCAAUACUCACACGGGUGUGUUUUCUCCAUUUUAACGGUCAGCAGCCGAGGCACAGUGAUGCCAAGUCCCUUCUCCAGAGCCACAGCACUGGUAAGUUAUGGAGCCAGACUUUGAAAAUGAGCCCUGGAUUUCAGGUUCUCAGCUGCUUGUCGUUUGCUGCACUGCCUUUAGUAGCUCUUCCUGGGUACUCUGUGGUUUUAAGGGGGAAAAAAAUGCAUGCUGCUUAGCACUGCUUUGGAAAUAAAGAUAAGGUCAUCAGAAAUUUCUGUCACUGUUUCAGUCUGACUUGGUACAAGAAAUCUAAUUUGCUAAAAUCGUUCUAUGUUUUAAUAGUUUUUAAAAUUAAAUGCAUCCUGGGUUAAAAGAGAAAGUUCGACUAAUGUGCAGAAAUCUCAGCGAUUACCUGGAAGUUUCUAAGCAGUAAGGAGCCUACCUCCUCCGCCUCCCCCCCCCUUUUUUUUUAAAGUAAUGUAGGCUAAAGAUCAAAUCUUUUUGCCCUGGGGGCUCUUGGUUCUCUGAUUUCAGCACCACGCUUGGCCGAGGACCAAGCUGGGCGGCCGGCAGAGGGCAGCCGCGUCCCGCGACUGGGCUCCUCUCCCGGGGCGCUGUGUGAACCGGGGUCUUUCUCCUGGUGUCCCUUACUGGUCCUGAAAGGCCAUCGGUGCCUUUAUCUGAAUGAGGACUGGAUCGAUCUCGUCGGGGAACCCGAGCCCGGGCCGGGGGCUCUGUUGCAUAGGCGCCGGGCCUGCGCGGGCCUGCAGGGCUUGUGCGGACUCCGGAGGCGACGACCCAGGACUUUCUGCAACACUUCCUGUAGAUCUGCUUCACAGACCGCCACCAGCGAAGGCCGGCUGGGCCUGGCGCUCUCCGCCUAAUACACCAUGUAAUGCGGCGCAGAUGGAGAGUUGUCUUUCGCCAAAUCAUUCCCCCGAGAGGCUGGUGGGCCCCCGGCUGUCUGCUGCACGGAGCGAGGCCCGGGUCCGGGUGCCCUGCUUCGCAAGGCCUCGUGAGCCAUAGUUAGCAGAGAAAACAGUGGUGCUGCCCCUUCCCUCCACACCCAUUUGAGCAUCCUGGCUGCUCUUUGCCUUACGUGGAAUUACACGGAACUAUUCAGACGGCUGUAAUCCAGACAGCUGCCUAGAUGAACAUGCGUUUUUGGAUUGAGGUUUCCAGUCAGAAGUUCUAGCAGAGCCAGAGCCCUGUGUCUGCAGGCCCCAGACCCUGGGGAUGUUCCCGGCGCUGUCUGAGCUGAAAGACACGGAGAAAUGCUCUGUGACGCUGACGCUCUCAGGUCUCUGUGAGUGCUACUCGGAUAACCUGGGGCACAACUGCUCUACACGCUCUUUGCUGAGGUGGUUUUUUUUUUAAUCAUUGGGCCAGAAUCCGAGGAAAUACGUUUUCGGAAACAGGACACCUUGUUCAGAAGUUGACAGGUGCAAGCACAUAUUUGUGUUCCUGAGAGCAAGUGAGGAGGGAGAUGGGCUGGAAGCUCGCAUUUGUGGAAGCUCCUUUCCUCUCUAGCUGGUCUCGGGGGGGGAAGGUGAUGAAGGCCGACCCGGCGUUAGCUGUGAUUGUCCUGGGUGAAGCAGUGUGAAGCAAGGAGGCAUCGUGGGCACCGUGGGUGCCUUCACACUGGCCAAGCAAGGGCAGGAGAGCUGCUUGCUGUUGAUUCGUGGGGGUUUCUUUAUACUCCAUCACCAGGAAAUCAGUGACACUUAUCCAAGGCCUUCUAGUAAGGUAGUUCAUGGAAUAAGUCUGUUUUAUGGACAAGCUGCCAUCCAAUCACUAUUUGACAGUUUAAAACAAAGGAGACUAUCAAGAUAGUCAGUUUUGUUCAGUGAAUAAAAGAAAGUUGUCCUCACGCUAUUUCUACAGAGUCCAGGCAGCUCUGGAGCUGAGGUAGUAUCAGCGGUCCACAGGAAGUUGGAUUUAGUGCUAAGAAUCAAACUUCUGUAGGCUACUUUUUAGAUCCACAAGAUAUCAUUCCCAAUUUUAAUUAAAUAUCAGAAACUUAAAAUCUAUUAACUAAUUCUUUAAUUCAAGAAAUAUUCCAGUGCUUACUUUAUGUAGGUGAUGUACCAAUGAACAAGGAAGAUGUGGCCUCAUGCCCAAGGAUUCAGAUUUUUCCAGGGGUCAGAAAGCUUAAACAACUAACUACACUGUCAUUAAAAGUUAUAAACAAGUAAGUACAAAAUGGUUUUUAAAGUAUACCAUGCUAUUUGUGCUAAAGAAGUAUAAAAGUCAUGACGAUAUUCAGAGUCUCACACAAUCUGGGAUUUCAAAGAAGAGCUCUUUAAAGUUAAUUUAAAUUUCUUUAUCUAAAAUAAGAUUUUGACAUACACAUUAUCUAUUUACACUGAUGGAUGUGGGCUUUUUAUUUAGACAGAAUGUCUAUAGAAUAACUGAAGGAGAAAAAUAUGCAAGAACUAAGAAAAAAAUUGGUAACUUCUGCUUUGAACAAAUAUAGAUAGAUCAGAUCAGUGCUAUAACCUCUCCCCAAAUCUCUUACAUGUGAGAAGUCAUAUAUCCAUUUAGAUGGGAGAAAUUAUAUUUGUCUUUUAGAAAUGUAUUUAACUAUCAUUUAAAUAAACUAAAAUUGGUUUUUAUGUUACUUUGGAAGAUGAUCCACAACAGAACCAUACAAGUUGAGUAAGUUUUCCUGGAAAUGAACAGGCUAAAAGUUGGGAUGAUUUCCUAAGGAAAAACAUGUUGGGUAUGGAGGAACAAAAAUCUACAGAAAAAACAUUAUAGAAAAACAAGUCAGAAAGAUAUGUGAUGCUCUAUGUAUUGCUUUGUCUGUUCUUGUGAAAGGUAAAUGAGACCUUUACAACAUAAACACUAGCUCAGAGUUUGAGGGAGACAAAAAGCCAUUCAUACUUUUUUGAUUACAUUCUUAUACCUUUCCAAAUAUAAAGGAUUAGUGAAUGAGGAUAGAAUUUGAUUUUAAUAAUGGAAGUUUUUAAAGACUUUCUGGAAAUGUCUGAGAACUGGAGAAAGAGAGAGAGAGAGAGAGAGAGAGAGAGAGAGAGAGAGAGAGAGAGAAUGAGAGCUUGUUCUUAAUUUUAUUUUGUGUUUAGUUCCAAGAAAUCACUUCAAAGAAAUCUUCUAAGAAAUCGUUUGCAAUCUCCCUGAUGUAUAGUAUAUAAAGAUGUUUGGAGCAAAUAGUUAAAUUCGAGAAUGUUUUACGCUCCUUAAUAGUGAUGGAUGUUUUCCUUGAUACUUCACCCUUGGCUGCUCUUCAAACAUAGUGCUACUGAUGAUGUUUAAUGAACUAGCUUUAUUUGUUGUGGUGAAAUAAGAAAAGAUUUGCUAAAUCUUUGAACUCAUAAAACAUUAUUAAUAUUAUGAAAAGGACAGUGACCACCUGCCCUCUGUCUCCGUUGAAGCAGAACAUGAGGAAAUACACUGCAGUAUGAGGCAGUUAUGUUAGAAUAACUGAGAAAUUUCCUGGCAGGGGCGUUAAGCAUUGCAAUGAAUCAGGAAGAAGGUUGUGAACUCUUCUUAGAGUCUGAUUCCCUUAUUAAAUAGCAUGAUCUAUCUUCGGUGUUGCUAGUCUCACCUGUAAGCUGGUAAACCUCUCAAGCUUUAGCUGUCUCCAGUAUUUCAUGAAGAUGUUCGUGUCAGAGGGAGGACCAGGAAAAGCUAACAAAAUCAAACAAUAGCCGAGAUUCGGUGAGUGUUUGUUCUGUGCUAGGCUCUGUAUGAAGAACUUUAUAAGCACUCUCCCAUUUGAACAUGGCAAUGGCCCAGGUAUUUCAGCCCCUAUGGGUUCUGUGAACAGACGCUGACUGCUACACACCAGCAGAUUUGUUUCUUAAAAUUACCAUCAACUCAAAAAUGUAUGAUGAAGGUUUAUAGACAAAUCAUCAUUGGUGAUGCUAUCCUCAUUUUGAGAAGGAGUUCUCUAGCCUGGAAAGGACUGGGUCAGGUCUCUUUGGAGGUACAAAGGUAACAGAGCACCUGGCUCUUGAGAUACUCAUGUGUCAGAGGCUUCGUGUUGUUUUUGAUGAUGUCACUAUGGGUGCUCCAAAGUUCAGAUUUCAACUUGAAAAAUUCAGUGAGCUGAAGAUCACAUUUCCCCUCCCAGAGGCAGAACACACUUCUGCAAAAGAAUAACUUAUGUUCUUGAUAGCACUUGACCUUGAAAGCUCAAAUACCUAUGUCCUUCCCACUGUUCUUUCUUCUUCUGAAACAAACCUUCACCCCAGGUUUUCGUAGUGGCUAAGUCUGAGGUCUGGCCUGACUUUGCCAGAUUUUUGUGAUGAGUCUUACUUUUGCACUUACUCCUUGUGCUUUUUACAUUGUAAUCUUAGCAACAGGGACAGGCCUUGAUUUAACAGCCUCAUGGUAAGUCUGCCCAGAGGUUUUGCCAAUGGAAAUGUAGAAAGUCCAGUGGCAAGAAAUAGUUAUGAAAACAUGCACAGUGGCGAAUACUUCGCUAGAACCCCCUGAGUUCAGGAAACUAAACAUUUUCCUCUGUUGAUAGAGCUUCCCGACUGCAUUCCUUUCCUCUAGCUCUGUCUGCCGUUUCCAGGAGGUCUAAUCUAAAUUACGUGAAUAUCAGAUGCCCCCAAGGGCCGAGUACAGAACAAGAGCUGCAGGAGUCACAGCUCUAAUGGGGGCCAUCGAGUCACCACCAUGCAACCCACACAGACUUCAAGACUGAAACAGUUUUCUUGAUGACUUUAAAGUUGUUUCAAAUAAGUUUUUCCCACUUUCUUUCUCUUUCUCCCUUUCCCUUUCUCUUUCUUUCUUUCUCCUCCCCCCUUCCCUCCUCUUUCUUUCCCUUCCCUUCUCUUCAUUUUUUCCCCUCCUCCUUCUUCUUUCCCUCUCCUCUCCCUCCUCCAUUUUAAAGAAAAGCCUCAAUAAAAAAAACAACACAGCAGUAUCUAUAAGGUCAGAUAUUUUCAUGGCUUGGGUAGCUCUCAGAAUAUAAAUUAUGCACCUUGAAAACAAGGAGUAAAUAACUUACUAAUUUUAUCAUUGCCUUCUAGGCUUUGUUUACAUUUAUUUACAUAUUUAUUUAUUUUUAGAAUUUUGCCAUUUCGUCCACGUAGGCCAGUGGCCUUUAAUCUCUUCGGCGCACAGGUGAGCAGGGUAACACGGUGGACACCUGUUUGCUCUCUAAAGUUAGGUAGUCCUGACUGUUAACAGUGCGAAUAGAUUUUCUUAAUAGUUGAGGGGUGCAGCAGAUUACAAAAUGCUUCCUUCAGAACAGCAGGAUGUGAUGCAGAGUAUUCACGUGGUGAAUUAUGAAUGUUCCUAUAAGUUUGAUCAAGUGAUGGGAUCUCCAGCGAUCAAGAGAGGAAUCACUUCCAUCACAGAAAAGACUUUGGAGUCAUUCAACUCUUUACUGAUGAGUGAAACCCUCACAGGCUGUUUUCCCAAAGCAGCAGAAACAUCGAGGAGCAAACACAGAUCCUCUGUAAAAGAAGCGGCAAUCAAUCUAUUGAUUCAUAAUGGAGAUUGAAUGGUGAAGAAUUUUAUACUUUACAUAUUUAAAACAUUUUAACGUUUUUACAAAAAAGACAAAAUGAAGCAAAUUAGCUACAAAUUAUUUUGUUUAUUUAUCUAUAAUUAUGUUUUUUGGUUUAUUUUACUUUUGAAAUUAAUUUUUUGCCAAACUUUUUACUUUGAAAUAACUUUAUAGAAAAUUUGCAAAGAUAGCGCAGAAGGUCCUCAUAUAUUUAUUGUCCAGUUCCACUGUUUUUACUAUUGUGUUUAUCAUGUACAUUUUUCAUAACUAAGAAAUCAACGUUGGUGUGUUACCAAACUCUACUAACCAAACUCCAUAUUUCUUUCAAAUUUAACUAGUUUUCCUAUGAAUCCCUUUUUUCUACUCUAGAAUUCAGAGUUGAAGUAGAAAGUGCACUUUGUUAUGUCUCUUUGGUGUUCCGUGGUCUGUGGCAUCUUUUUCAUGACUUUCAUAGUUUCAGGUACUGGUCAGGGAUUUUUGUACAACAUUCCUCAUUCUGGCUCUGUCUGUUAUUUUCUCACGAGUAGACUAGAGUUAGGGCUGUUGGGUAAGAAGACCACAGAGGCAAAGUGCUCUUAUAUCACAUCAUAUCAGGGGUACAUGCUGUAAACAGGACUUACCACUAUUGUUGAAGAACAAAAUGUCAAUAAUUAUGUCAAUACCUUCAAAGAUCGAAUUGGCUUUUAUUACUGAUUCUUGUGCUGAGAAAUAUCCAGUCUCCAAACAACCUCCAAUGAGCCAGAGAGAGUGGACAAGUUGUAGAGGCAGCAAAAAGCAGAGGAAAUCAAAAACACUGAUCAGGUAGUGAAUCGGUUCUUUCACCAUUAUUGUCCCUGAAGGAGUGCAAAUGAAGUCUUGUUGGCCACCAUCUGUCAUCUGAUUUUCAUAAAGUCAAAUCUCUUCUACUCUUGGAGGUCAUAUCUUUUUUGUAUUCAAUUCCUGCUAAGUUUAUUGUUUUUCUCUCAGUUUUUAUUUUUAAUUAGUACAUGUUUCCAAUACACAGUGAUCAUAUUCCUUACAGGAAGUUGGCACAUGCACAUGACACAUCUCAAUCCAUUUUCAACCCCUUCCCAUUCUCUUUUCUCCUUCCUUCCAUCUCUCAAUCCUCUUCCCUUAUAAGAAAGAUCUAUUUCCAUAGUUCUCAUUAUCUAUCCUUUAUUUGCUCUUCAUUUAAAUUUUGGCUUUCUUAUAAGAGAAACCAUGUGAUAUUUAAGCUUGUGUGUCUGAUUCAUUUCACUUAACAUUAUGGUCUCAAGGUGCAUCCACUUUCCUACAAAUGGCUCAAGUUUAUUCUUUAUGGAAGGUCAGAUCUUGCAAGCAAACAACCUAAGUUUCAUGGUGAUGUGGAAUCUUAGCAUGAGUUACAGUAUUUUGGCCUGCUGCUUUUUCUUUAAACAUUUGUCACUGUUUAAAAUUAUCAGCAUUUCAAAGGUACUCUCUCUCCCCUUUAAUAUUCUAUGGAAGCAAGUCCAGCCCAGCUUUAAGAUUUAAUACUGUCUCACAAUUAUUCAUUCAGAUGACCAGUAGAACUGAAGACAUAAGACACAGUGCUUUGAGUUUCUUAGAGAAAAGGUAUAAAUAAAUGUAAAUGGAACCAUGGAUCUCCUGAUCUUCACUGAGUCGCUUUCUCAUGUUGGAAUAUGACAUUCAGAGCAGGCAAAAGUAAUCAGUAUUUUCUGUCUAUCACUUAGGAUGAAAGAAAGCUGAAGAGAUGUAGGCCAAUUAUACGCUGUCAUGACAAUGGGCCUUCAUCCAAAUCCCCAGGAAGGCAUCACAGGAGAUCUUCAGAUGGCAACACAAUGCACUCCACCAUCACACUCCCAUGCCCAGAUCUUAGCACCAUUUUACAAUCUAUUUACUGUGAUCUUUGAAGAGAUAAAAUCCACUUGCCCAAUCAACAUGAUCUUUGACCUGAACCCAACAACUAUAUUUUUUUAUCCACUAUUAUUUAUGGAAUACCUAUUAUGUGCCAGAACUUUUCAUAUUUUUCUACUUUAUCUUUCAGACAUGAUUUCAUAAAAUACUUUCAUUUUUAUAAGGAAAUUGAAAGAGGUCAAGUAGUUUGGCCAUACCAGCAGAAGUUGCAUUUGGGAUUUAAAAUAAAUUUAUUCUAUUCCAAAGUGCAUAUAUGUGAAAUAAAUAAUUUUUCAAAAAUUUGUCAUAUGAGGAAAAAUCUAAUAUUGUGGAUUCUUGCUAGGUUAACAACAUCAUUAAGAUUUUUCUGUAGUAAGUAAGACUAAUAGCUCUUUUAUUUUUAGACAGUAAUUUUGCAGUCAUGGUAUCCCCAUAAUUUCUAAUAUUAUUUCUCCUGAAUUCACUAGGUAGAUAGAAAUUCAUUACAGUAAAAAGCAUUUAGCUGCAGGUGUACUGGAAGCAAUCAUUCCAUUUUCCUCACACUGCACACGUGCUGCUAAUUUUGUUUUUGUAUUGACAGUCAACAUGAAAAAUGUUUAAUAGUCAAGGUAACAGGGAAAAUCAAAUCAAAGUUCCUCUUGAAUAUUACUUGAGAGAAGUUAAUAUUUUCAGGAUCCAGUUCUUAAUGCUUAAAGACACUAAAAAUAUUAAAAGUCAUGGAGUAUGGAAAAAUCCAUAAAUUCUUGUGAAGCCUCGUAAAAUUAUUUUCCUGGUAGGUGAACAAAGGGCUGAACGAUGCCCAGAUAUACAGGUGAGAAGUCCAUCCCAUUUGUUCAUCUGGAGAACCCUUCCUAGUUGAAUAUGCACGGUAAUAAUUGGUCACUUCUCCAUCACUGUGCUUCUUCCAGAAGCUAUGAGGUGGGUUUUUUGGUUUUGUUUUGGUUUUUGGGUGUGUAGCUACGGGAAAUGGUUACACGGAGCUACACAUUAUUCAGGUUAAUCAUGAGAGCACAGAACAAUUUGCCAUUCCAGUCUCUUGAUGGCCCAGAUUUGAAGUGUCUGCAACUCUGUCCUAACAGCCGCUGGCAUUGUGUAUAAGAGGCCAUCUGGCAAAACUUAAAGUAGGUGACAGUUUUUCCUCCCAUUCUUUUCUCUACCACGUGUGUUACAGUUUCUUUCUUCACUCAGAGCACUUUCUAUUAAUAUGCAGGCCCUCUUGUCAAAGGGAGAAAAUCUGGUCUUUAAAACCUUGCUGUAAGUUAGUUACUCAUCUACCUUUCCCUGAGGUCUGCAUUUUAAGAUAGAAACCCGUAAUGGAACCUGAAUUAACAGCCUUCUGUGGCCGGGACCCGGAGGAUCCAGUCGAAGGCAGAAGACCUGGAGCUCCCUGCAGGGUCCAGUGUGAGUCUAUGUCGGGAAGCAAAGAGUCUGCCCUGGGAGAUGGAAGGAACCGGAGAUGAAUGUCCACAGGCAGGGACAAAGCCCGCAGCUUCUUUGGAGAAGAAAAGAGCAGACUCCCUUCUUUUCCUUUUUAUUCUGUCCAGGCUACAAGUCUAUUGGUUGGUGCCACCCACAUCCGGGGCGGGUCUUCCCUCCUCAGUUUGUGGCCUACCUGUCAAUCAUCCAGAGACACGCGCAGGGCUUUACUGAUUUGCUAGGUGGCUCUUACUCAAGUGAAAGUGCCAUAUCCCAAUUAACGAUUACAUCUAAUAAUGUUCAGAUAAAACGUAUUUUGUGCAAUUGGACUGAUAAAACAUGCAAAAUAUAGCUAUGAGGUCUGCUUGAGAUUCAUAUUUAGUCACAAGAAGCAAGAAUAAUUUCUUCAUUCAAUAAUACUUAGAGAACACUGACUAUGAUGCAAGAAUUUCAGGCACUAGGAGUAUCAUAGUGAUCAAAAUCAAAGGUCUCUGCUGUCCUGGAGCACAUGCUCUACAGGGAAAAUGAACAGUGAGGAUGCACAAGGCUAGAAGAACAAGCUAAAUGGCACCUGCCCAGACAAGGCCUUCAGAGGGACUUUCCAUGGGUUCGCAGCAGUUAAAUGCAGAAGUACAAACUGGGGGGCUGAAUCCACUCUGGGUUAAAAGAGCCUUACCACCAAAUAUGGAUUUUAUAGCAGGAAAAUGUAAUGCAUAGGUCUGGUCUGAAUUCUGAUUCAAAAAAUAUGCAUUCAAGAGACAAUAUCAGGGGAUCGUUGACAUCUGUUCUGUAGUAAUUGUAGUGUGAUUAGGGACAAAAAAACCCCUUAUAUACUGCUUAGAGCUGAACUCUGAAUUAUGUAAGAUAGACAUUAUAUACUGUCUGGAAAGAAAAAGAAAAAAUGUAAAAUUCUUGUGGAAAAAUCUGAUAAUUAUUUAAUUUGGUUGAUGAGUAUAUAGGUGUUCAUUGAACUAUUGUCUUUUCUUUGCAAACUAAUAUUUUAUAAUACAAAUUAAAAAUCAAAAUGACAAUGAAAAUGUGUUAUUGUGCAUAUUUAUCAUGUGCACAAUGUGCAGAGCAAAAGAAGGAAUGGAGACAAUGGGUUUGUUUUCUAAGCUCCCAAUUUAUCAACCUCACUUUGAUAUUCUUUCUGGUAUCUUUAAACUGAGCCGGUGGCUAUUUUAUCAAGCUGAAUCUCUAAGGAAUAUGCUAUUCACAGAUCACCUUUGGAAGAUUUUACGUUUGAAUAUAUUCUUUGUUAGAUUAACAAAUAGUUUCUGGAAGGACUCAGUGAAGAUAAUGAAAAAAUCUAUAGAAGAAAGAUGAUAUGACAGAAAAACCCAAGUGGAGGAAAAUCUCAGGGAAUGAGAUGCAUUUUACCUCAUCCUGGGUGAAACGGGAGGCCGAGAUAAUGCCCUCGUGGAGAGCAGACACAAUGAAGUUGUCGUUGUUGAUUUAAAUUCCCUUGCACGGUGAAAAGUGUGUGGAAUUGGAAGAGAGGCGACCAGUCAUGAAGACACUGCUGACGAGAGGGCCGUCAGCUCGCACGGGGAUGGUGGCAGUGGCGAUGGAGAGACGCGGGUGGAUCAGGAGCAUGGACAGGAGUUGCGAGGUCCAGCGAUCGCCUAGGGCCUAUUCCCUCAGAACCUCCCCCGUUGGCCAUGCCCUGCGGAAGAGCUCAAGAAUCACACUCCUUCCUGGGCCUCAGAGAAGGAAGAUGGCUUUUAGGGAACAGGUGUCUGCCCACCCUAGGGCAGCAGGCAAAUCAUUCAACAGCUUUUGCUCCCAGCCCUGGGCGUCCUUAAGGUGGCUCCAAAUGGGUCCCAACCACCUUUUAGGCAUCAUCGAAUCAACGCCGGAGAAACAUUUUGACGAUUUUGUUGCUUGAUGUCCGUCUAAAUGGCGCACGUGCUCCUGACUCUGCAGAGGAGAUGCUGGACCCUGGGCCCGCCUGAUCCCAUGGGAACUGAGUGAGCCACAGGCCAGGUAAGAGUCCCAAGCCCAGUGAGAAUGUGCAAAGACAGUUCUUCACUGAGAGGUGGUCAAAGAUAUGAUUUAGAGAAGCACCAGACUGUAGAGAAGAACUGGAAGAGUUUCCCCGUGAGAGCACUGAUUUUGUUGUGAUACAUAAAACUAGGCCUCAGGAACUAUUUCAGCAUCUUUGGCUGGAAGCCCUGUUGUGAAUGGAAACUGUUCACUGAAGGGUUUGGGUGAUUUCCCUUCAUGGUGGGGCCGUGCCUGGCUCUGCAGGAGUGGCUUGCACAGAAGUAGACACGGACGGUAGCAUUCUCAUGAAAAUAAGCUCUCACAAAACGGGUGGAAAUACGCGUCUCAUUAAAAACCCAGUGGAAAUCAGGCUGUAGGCCAAACACGACUGAGGCAUUAUUGCUAAAAUAAAUUGAAUAACCUUUACUUUUCUUCUGUUUGCCUCAGGAAUCUGUGUUCCUGUAGCUACAAGGUAGAUUCUCUUGGCUUGGUAAUUUGGAAAGUCCUGACAGAAGCAGAGAGUUUGCCUCCCAGGGCUCAAAGUGUUUCUGAGGUAUAAGGACACGACACUAAAAGUAUUACGGCCAGAAUAAAAAUUUUGCAAAGCAGGUGAAAUCUACAAAAUGAUUUAAAUUAUUAUUGUACAGAAUAAAUUUGGGAUUUUCUGACCAUUAAUUCCAAAUUGUUAAUCAUGUAAACUUGUUUUUCAUUUAACCUGCUUACUUUCUUACAAAGUCAAGGAGGUUUAUUUUGGCUCAUGGCUUCCCAAGGUUCCAUCCAUGGUCAGCGGGCUCCAUUGCUGUGGCCUGAAGUGAGGUGAAGCAUCACAGAGGAGAUGUGGGGGCCAGAGCUGCUCACCUCUUGGCACCUGGAAAGCUGAGAUAGGGAAGAGCCUGGGAGGGAGGAACUGGGGGCCAGACAGAGUCCCCAAGGCUGCAGCUAUAUGAUCACUUCCUUCAUUGAGGACCGAGCUCCUGUCUCCAUCCCUUCUAACAGUGCCAUUGACUCAUGAUCUCGUUAGCCGAUUAACCCAGGGGUGAAGUUAGAGGCUUCCCAAAGCCAAACACUUCCCAAAGCCCAUUAGCAUCCAAGCCUUGAAUACAUAGGUUCUGAGGCCUCUUCAAACCCAAACUAUAACAGUCAGCUAAUGUGUAAAUCAUGGUCUGUCUUCUGCAGGUGUGUGGUGUAAUGAUGGGAGUACACAGCUGAGCUCUGUGAUUAGGCCAGUGCAAGGCUAUGGCUCUAGUUUGUAUGACUGAGGGACGACACUGAAGGGAUUUUGUCCCUAUACCCUACUGCAGCAAUGCCUAUGCGUUACCCGAUGAUGGAUGGACGAACAUACCUACCCAGGAAGUAGCUUUAGCAGGUGCCAGAACACAGCCCAUUAGACAUACUGCCCUCCUGCUGACUCUUACUGCAUCCACCUCAAUAGACAUACAUUUAGUUUAUUGUAUUUUUAUGUCUGUAAUCACCUUAUGAUUAAUGUUAUUUAUUUAAAAUGGCUAAAGCACUUUCUUUGAGAAGAUGUACAUUAAGUAGCAAUCCAUUAGCUAUGGUUAAUUUAUCUGAUUAUGUAUUAUCACCUGUGGUUCCAAAUCUCAGGUAGGGUCAGGAUGGGAAAAUGUCAACUUUGGCUUGGCAGAUAAGAAUAGGAAUGUUUGAAAUGUCAGAAGCCACGGUCUCCUAAGCAGGAUGUUGAUGUAGGCAGGGAGAGAACAGAAUGGCAGCACUUUUAAGGUGACAUUCUAAGAAAAUAUGGCUUGGUCAAAAAUAAUGAAAUAAGGCAGCAGCCUUCUAGUUUGGAGAAUUAAAGGCAUAAUCUUUGGAUUCUGAUGUAGCUUCUGAGUCUGGGAAAGUCAUUUAAUUUCUCUAUACUCUGGUUUCCUCACAUGCAUAAUAAUUAUAAAUAUUACAUCCCUACAUGGGUGAGGAGCACUCAAUGUUAUUAUUUUUAUUUAUGUAUUUAUUUUAUUUUUAUUUUUUGGUACCGGGGGUAGAACUUGGGACCUUACACUUUCCAGGCAGGAGGCGGCACCACUGAGCUAAAUCCCAGGCCCGAUGUUAUUAUUUUUAAAUAGUAUCUUUAUUUGGGGGAUGUUUGAGGUGUUUCUACCUUAUGGCAAAAUGCCAUUAAGUACUUAAUGGAAAAAUGUACACACAUUAUUGAAGAGGCCUUUUUGGCCAUUGAGAAUUGACUGAUGAAUUCUCCACCUUUGGAAGAAGGCAGAUAUGGUCCACUUAGGUGGCUCACGGGGAGAAGCGACAGCUGAUCCUUGGUGUGGAAGGUCGGACAUGUUUCCUUCACAUGCAUCAUCUGUGCUCUGUCUCCCAGAAACGUCUCAGAGUGCUGGGACGCCGCUGUCCCUCGCCAUGGUUGCCAGCUACCUUGGGUGGCUAAGGUCCACCACUCAAUUUUAUGGGGAGGAGAAAUCCAGUUCUGCUUAGGGUAGCCGGGAUGAAAAAAGGAUUCAAUUCAGAAGACUUGGUUAUAAAUCCUUGCUUUUAGAGACUUGAUAGAUUUAUUGUCUUGGAAAAAUCACCCCAGCUUUCUUAUCCAUAAAGCUGAAGUAAUUCUUAUCUGACAGCACUGUUAUGAGAAUAGAAUGUUAUAAAAUAUGGAAAUGUCCUGAAAGAAAAUCUAGAAAUUUAUCUUUUAAAAUAGUUUCCUAGGCACUGACUGCACCAAGGGAUUUGGUGGUCUACAAAAUAUCGUAAUUUUGCCAGCCCUUGAGAAAACUGGAAUGCGUUUUAUCCCUCUUCUCUGGACAGCACUCCUUCUGAGACGUCUGUCCACCACGCAGGCACAACUCCCUGUUCAUUUACUCAGGUGAGUUCAUCUUAACAAACUCAUUAAACGAUACAUGGACUUGAUUUGCCUAUGCAACUAAAAAGCCAGGGACAGGUGUGGAUUGAGUCAGUGGAUUUUUAAAAGCCACUUUGGAUUCAAUCUCAUCCCAUCUCCUGAUUCUGCAUCAUGUGAUGUUACCUUGUCUCUAGGAUCUUCUAAAGGGGUCCAGUAGACCCAGGAAUGUACCUGUUUUCACAUUUGGCCUGUGGAAGAGUCCCUGUCCUAGUGCUCUGACCUAAAUACUGAGGCUUUUAGGUUUUGUCACAUGCUCGUCUUUGACCCGAUCCUGAUGCCAAAGGACAGGAACGCACAACAUCAGCUGACCUUGGGCCAUGUGGUCUAUUUUGGACCUUUGGGGAAGUCAGCUUCUUUAGGAUCACAUGAGUCUACAAGUUUAAACCAGAAACUAUCUAGAAAUGUAAAGAGAGCCCACAGUGGUAUUUCAUCUGUAACAUGUCCACCACCCACUGGCUAAACAAAGCCAUCGGACUGGUCUGGGUGUGUCUGGGUGGAGUGGUCCUGGGGUCUGUCUGGUCCAUCGCCCCUUUCCCUCAGGGGCUGGUCCUCUGCUCUGCUUCCCAGCAGCCAGGAACUGAUCAGCUUUGUCUCCUCAUGCCCUUCUGCCAUGAUGUUCCUGCCUUGGAGCCAGCUGGCCAUGGACCAAAUCCCUUGGAACCAUGAGCCAAAUGUACCUCCCUUUCUUUAAUCUGUGGGUCUCAGGUAUUUUGUCCGGCAGCAGGAAACCUAACCCACACAGCUAGAGAUAGAAUUUCUGGAGCUGUGGUAGGUGUCCCAGUGGAGCUGUGGCAGGUGGAGCAGAUCUUACCGUAACUCAAGUGUGCAUCUUAUGUCCUCAUGAGUCCCAGAGUAGCAGGGCGGAGAGCGCUCCAGCCCAGAUGGCAAGGUUAGGCUUGGGUUCUGCAUCUGUGACUGAGCAGGUGGAAUUCAGGUGAAUUGAUUUUCCUCUGUAAGAUUUUCCUACCUCUAGAAUGGAGGUAGUAGAAAUAAUACUUACAAGUCAGUUUUGAGCAAUAAAUGACAUAAUUGAAAAAAUGUGUUUAGUUCCUGAGAUGCAUGGAAGUAGGGAGUUAAUGAAUUUUAACUUGGCCGGAAUGUUUUUCAUGUAUUUGAAUAGAAAUCCCGGAAUAGGGACUAGGCCUAGAGAAUUUAGUAGACUGUUUGUAAGAACAGUAUAGCGCUCAGAGGGUCACCCCUCCUUCCCUCUUGUGUCUUCAGUUUGUCUCUCAGGGACAGAAGCAUGUGCCUUUGGGGAGAGGCCUCAGGCUGUUUAUCAUUCUGGAGAGCUACUGAAAUCCAUCCUAUUUAGAGCAAGCACAUAAUUGAUUGUUCAAAUUAGGAAGCUUGUUGGAUUGAGGGAAGGUACUCAAAAAACAAUGAAUAGCCAGAACUCUGGGAGGCUGAUGCAGGAGGAUCCCAAGUUUGAGCCCAGCCUGGGCAACGUAGCUACUUAGUGAAAUUGUCUCAAAAUCAAGAAACAAAGACAGAAAAAUGGCUGGGGAUGUAGCUCAGUGCAAAGGCCCUGGGUUCAAUCCCCAGUGCCAUAAAAACCGAAAUAAACAAACAAAAAACCCCAUUAACAUGGAAUAGUUGAGCUGGAAGAGGUACACACAAGAACUUUCCCAGUUAAACUGCCUCAUGUAUGAAAGUCUUCACCUAAAAUAGAAAGAUCUAGAGUAAAAUUAGGCACCUAAUAAAGGCAAAGAAUUCUAAAAAGAAAUGUUUUCUCUUCUCUUUCCUUCUGAACCAUCAGUAAAAACUAUCCCAACAUUCAACCAUUUUGUUAUUUUAUUCUAUUUAAAAUACUGUCAUAAAGAUUCAUAUAUCCACACAAAUAUUAUAGAAGAUGUAUUUUUUACUCCUAAUUUGAGUUCAUUUGUUAUAAGAAAUAGGAUCAACCAAAACACAUUUCUAUGGUUAUAUUUAAAUAUAUCUACACUUUAAAAAUAAUAAAGCUGGUUAUGUUUCAUCUUACCCAUAAGCCACCAUAUGUCAGUCUGAAGCUGAAGUUAGUAAUGGUUCAUAAAACCAGAGUUCUGAAAUUUUGAACCUUUGGAAUUAUCUGCUUUCUUGUUUCUUUAUUUCUCUCUGGGCUAAAUAGAAUUUGUACAUCUGACAUCCAAGGUCUUUAUAAACACUAUUAAAGUAAUAAAUGUCAUUAACUUUAGCAUCCCUUAAUUAUUGAUCCUACAGAAGUAAGAGGAUAAUAUAAUGAUCAUUUCCAUGCCAUACCAUACUUUUAUUCCUUUUCGUGUGUUAUGUGGCUAACUCCAUAUACCAUGUGUUAGCAAAAUUUACUAGUAAAUUAAUAAAGAAUUUGUGCUGUUCCAAAAAUGAUUUGAGAACUAAUAAGAAAUACUUACUUUUUAAAAUAAGAAGGAUUUAAAAUAAUUUAAAAGAAGCAAAGGGAAAUAAGAUUAGGUAGAUAAGAUGCCCUCUAGAAUGAUGUUCCAGACUGGGUACAUAAGUUUGUUCUUAUGUCUUAGCAGUCAAAACAGGGGAAAACAGAAUAAGGUUCAUCUGUCAAAAGGUCCAUAGGCUGAAAACAAAGCCCUUGCUCAUGAGAAUCACAAUCCUUUAAUGUUAAAAGAAGAGUUUUCUUCCUUAGAAAUGUGCACACUUUAAGUUUCUUUAUAUUUCUACAAGGUAAAGUUAUCGUAUCAUACUGCCUAGAAAGUUAUUUUGUCUUCCUAUGUUGGUGAUUCUAAUGCUUAAAAUCUAACAAUUUCCCUUAGCUUUGAAAGGUAUUCAUUCCAGUAGCUUGCUUGUGUACUAAAUCAUGUAAUAAUUGGAUAUUUAAUUAUAUUCUACCAAAGGCUUACACAAACAUAUGUGCAGGUUGCAGUAUGAAAUAUGUAUUUAUUCACUUUCCUCAGAUUGUUUAACAUAGAACUACACAUGAAAAGAAAGUUAUUUCCUAGCUGUAAGAAAAAUAGAAAAUCGCAGAUAUUAUGUAAAGUAUUGUGAACACAAUUGCACAUAUAUUUUAUUUAUAUCUCUUAAUUUUACACCUUAAUGGAACUCAGAGUGCCGUUUCAACACCUGGACACUGAUCAAGUCAGGGUAAUUAGCAUUUCAAUCUCCUUAUCAUUUCUUUAUGUUUGGACUCUAUGGACCUUCAUGAAAUAUACACUGGGCUGCUCUUGGGAACUCUAGUCAUGUCUCUCUGCUGCAGAAAACCAACACUUAUUCCUUCUUUCUGUGUUUGGUACCUGUGCCUCAACCUCCCUUAAUUACCCUUCCCCUCAAAUCACACAUUGUCUUAUUGAAACUUUACUUUUAAUCUUUUUUCUUUUAAAAAAGGAAUCAAAGAGCAAAGAAAAGAGUAAUAUCAUUGCUUGUGAUGAAUCCAGGUUGCAGAAUGCUGUCAGUUCUGGACACGUGUGCAUAUGAGCUCUCGUAUCCUGGAGUAACUCCCACAGCAGCACUGCCAUGGUGCUCCUCCUACACUGAGCAUUACUUGUAAAGUGCAAGCGCUUGGGAAGAACUGUGACAUGUGAUGAAUCUGGUCAGCGUCAGCGCACUCCUACCGCUGCCUGGCCGCCCUUGUUCAGACACAGGCAGAGAGUAGACAACAGGCAGACAUGCUAAUGCGCAUUCUGCGGUGACCAUCAAGAAGGCAGAGAUAAGGCUCACCACAGGGGACAGUGAAGAAAACUUCGAGUAAUGAUGACAGUAUAUGAGGUGGGAUCAAACUAGCAGAUGUUUACAUUGUUUUAAAAAAUUAGUGCAAUAAAAGAUACAUUGCCAUUAACCCUCCUCAAAAUAUCCUCGCCUCCACUUCAAACACUCUUGGCCCUCUGCUCUUGCCACUUUCUGAGGCAGUUCUGGAAGUCCUCUUCCAUCCGUGUCAGUAGUUGUACUACUGUGACUGCCUCGAUGUCCUGAAUCAGUUCAAAACAUGUACUAUUCAUGGUCAUUUUGACCUUUGGAGAAAAGCCAGAAGUCACACAGUGCCUGAUCCAGUGAGUAAGGGGCCGAGGACACAGCACUGUGUUUACAGACCCGUGUUUCUGUCGGAUGCACUUGGCAGCAACAUUCACCACUUUUUGAUCAAACUUCCUCAAGACCCUCAUGAAGAGGACUUCCAGAACUGCUUCAGAAAGGUGCAAGAAUGGUGGGAAAGUGCAUUUAAAACUGGGGAAAUAUUUUGAGGGGGAUUAGCUUCAAUAUGUCUUUUACUGAAAUUAUUUUAAAAAUAAUUUUAAACAUAGAUCAUAUCUUUGGUCAUAACUUGUGAUGAAAUGAUGAGAAAAUAAAUGUCAUAGAGCUAAACGAUAGGAGCCUGGAUGUAGCAAGGCUGUCUAAGGCCAAUUGCUCAAGUCAUUUACCACAAAGAAUUCAAAAGGAGGAGAAACACUGACCCUCAUAGUAGAAUUUUGCUAUAGACCUGAGCAAAACCAUCACCAUUGGCAAUAUUUCAACACACUCAAUGUUGCAAGAAUGAGGUGAGACAUUGACAAAGAAAUCCAGAAACACAGUGGCUCAAACAAAACAGAUGCUUAACAGAGCCGGAGGAGCUGCUGAGCUCCCCAGGAGCCCAGGUGCUUUCCACAUUGUUGCUCUGCUGUUCCCAAGGUUAGCCUUGAGGGUUGGGUGGGAUCUAGCUCAGGACCCUUGUUUUCUAGGCUGUAGGAUGUAAGGAAGUAAACAAUAAGUGAUUUUCUCCUUUCAAGAGCAGAAGUGGGGUUGCACACAUUACUCCUCCUCAAUCAUCAUGAGGAGGAAACCAAGCACAUGGGCACAGAGGGCUGCGAGAAAGGCCUCAGGCUGUCAUCUCUGGUUGAGUGGCUGCAUCUUGAGGGGAAAAUAAUUCCUCAAAGGGAAGAGAAAAGAAACUAGGAGAUAAAAGUCCCCGCCCCUGCAUGGCAACAGUUUUGUGUAAUGAAAUUCCAGGUUAGAAUGCAGGAUAUGGUUCCAGGAUAGUGGAAUAGAGUAAGAGAGAGGUUUCUGGCAAAGAAAGGACAUUUAUAAGGAGAAGCCAGGAUGUCUUGCUCUGCAUGUGACUAUCCUCCAUGGUGCUGAUGUCCUACUGGUUUAUUAGGUCACUGUGAGUCAGUUUCAGGAUGCAAGUUCUACUUCCCUUGAAUUUUCUGGCAGGUUAGGGAGUAGUUGGCCAAGUCCCUGCAGAAUCUGACAGAGCUAAAGGAAAUCAAUUUGGUUUUACUUUCUUCAGACUUCUGUGAUAGGACAACUAUGCAAAUAUGUAUCUAAUUGUUUCUUACACUUUUGACUCUGCUUGAACGCCCACAGAUUAAACUCUAAUUCUUUUGGAGCAAACGACAGGUAAUAAAUCUAAUCUAUCUAGAGAAAUCUGUUUCAUCAAUAUUUGCCAAUAGAUAUACCACCAGUGUUUCUGGCUUGGGAACUAUAUAGAAACUAUGCCCCAAAUUAGCACUGACAUAAGGUACUCUCAGAACAAGUUGCACCAAGCUUUUUACCUUACUUCUAUUGCUAAUAAUAUGGAUUUAGUCUAGAAGAAAAGUGAGCGAAUUAAAUAAAUUUUCAAAAGUCCUGCCUGAAAGUUAAGAGUAACGAUUCCUGUGUGGUUGUUUUUUGGAUCAGAUUUGCGGUGAUAACGGCUGAGAACUUUCCAUCCUCAUACAAGCUGGGUCUCAAAUUCCUAAGGAAACUCCUGCAGAGCCGCGCUGUUUGCUUUUGAAAGAUCAUAUCCUGACUUGCCUAUGGAGCCUUUGGUCGGAGGUGGGAUAAUUUUUGCAGCUGGGGGGAACCUAUACCUUGCUGGGGAAAAUCAGCAUGAAACAAUUAAUCACUCAUCCAAAAAUAAGAAUCCUAACCGAAGGGUGUUCACCGAUGAAAGAGCAAAGAAAACAUGUGCAGAGACAGUCUUCCUUCUGAUAGGCAGUGAUUUUUAAAGCAAAUUCUUCAUGUUUGGGAGUUGCUUCUUUCUUUGCUUUUUAUUAAACAGAGUUUUGUUUUCCUGAGUAAAAAAGAAUCUUAUUUUCAAAGGGCUGUUAUCCUGCUGCUUGCUCCCCAUAUGAAAUUAUCUUGCAGAGUAACAGGGCCUGGUGUUCUGGAAAUUGCAUAUGGGAUUUCUUAGUUUAAGAUCAAAGUCCUGUGACUGGAAGUUCACAAGAGUCACUCUUUUUCUUUCUAUUCAUACUUACAUUUUUAUUUUUCAAAACCAAUGCAUCAGAAAUUAUAUAUUUUAUGGAAAAUGAUAUGAUGUUGUGAAAUAUGUACACAUUACGGCAUGGCUGAACCAAGCUACUUAACACAUGCAUCCUCACAUGCUUACUAUGAUUUUGUGGUGAGAACACAUAAAAUCUAUUAUCUCAGUAUGUUUCCCAUCAGUCACUGCCUUGAAAUUGAACAGUUUUCAUAUAUCUUCUAAAUUUAACAUUUCAAAUUUGGCUUUCAUAAAAUAUUUUAGUUAUUAUGUUAGUACUUAACUGAGGAAUAGCUCAAACUUGGUACAUUCAUUUGUACAUUCUGAAUUAGUGGAAAGAGUUUGGGGUUAUAAAUGGGGAUGUAGAGCCACACCUCCUCCCAAUCAGAGGCAAACUCUGCUGCCAUGACAAAGGAGAAGCCAGCAGCUUCAGGGUGCGUGGUCAGUCUGUAAUGACAUUAGUACUGUCUUCGCAGGGGCCAGCUCACUGGAGUUCUAGCUCUAUUGUUCGCACUGAACUUUUACCUUUCCACAGAGUUAAAUGCAUUGCCAGUGUCCCAGUGUAUUCAGAAUUAAGCUGCCCUUACCUAUUCAGAGUUAGUAAAAAGAGACUUAUAUUUUGUCCUAGUAUUUUAUUUUCUACAUGAUUUCUCUCUCUUGGAAUUUAUUUUGGUAUAUGGUGUGAAGAGAUGAUCUAAAAUGAUGUUUCUCUGAAAUAGUUGCCUCAGUUGUCUCUUCUUUCACAUUUGAUUUUAUUUCUUUGUAAUAUAUAACAUUAUUAAAAUUAAUAUAAUUUCAAACAAAUAUUUCUGACAUUUCUUGUAUAUAUCCUACUUUAUCGAUGUGUCUGUUUUUGCAUCAACAGUAUGUCUUAAUUAAAGUGCCUUAUGGUAUGUUUUAAUAUAAAGUUGGGCUACUUCCAAAUGAAUGCUCUUUAGUGAGAGAAUUUAUGUAAAACUCCUAUAUCUAUCUACGUGUCCCCAUGUGGAUGCACACAGCAAUUGGGAGAUUUUCUAUGGCACCAUCCUAUCCUGUCUUGGACCUUAGCCUUCAUCCAGAGGAGCACUGUGUGUGCUGUCUCCCACCAAGCCAGGGGUCUGAGCAACUUUAGCAUCUACACUAUUCCAUUAGUGUUACCUCCACACCUACCAGUUAGCACCCAAUCUAGCACUGCCUAUACCUGCUCACUGCAUGCUGCAUUGCUAGUUUUAGAGUCAUGAUUUUUUUUUUUUUUUUGGUACCAGGGAUCGAACUCAGGUCCUUGUACUUGCGGUGCAGGCAGCAGAAACACUGAGCUAAAUCCCCAGCCCUUAGGGUCAUAAUAUUAAAAAAGUUAAUAAUGUCUGAAUUUUUACUUAGGGACCAAAAGUUGAUUGUGUUUUAACCUAUACUCAACUUUCUUUCAGAUAUAAAAUAUUCUUCUCUAAGAAGGAGAAAGGUAUAGUAUUUACUUGAAUUAGUAUCAUGCCUAUGUGGUCCAACUGAGAGGUGAAGAAAACAGGCUGAGGAGGGACUUUCUGAAAUUUAGAUCAGAUAAAAUACUUUAUUUGUACAAAAAGCAAUUAGUAAUAAUUGGACUUUUUAAACUCACAAACAAGACUAAAGACAGCAAAACAUAUGAGAUAAUAAAAAUAUCCAUUAUCCACUCCACAUUAUUUGUAAUAACUUCAAAUGAUAAAAGAUUACAUUAAAAAUCCAAUUUAGGGGCCAGGGAUUUAGCUCAGUGGUUCCACCGCCUGCCUUGCAAGCACAAGGACCCAAGUUCGAUCCCCAGUACUCCCUGCCAAAAUAAAUCCAAUUUAAAAAAUUUUUAUUGCAUAUAAAUUGACAAAUUACAUUUGUGUAUAUGUACUGGGUACAAAGUGAUCCUAAGAUUUAUGGAUAUGAGGAGUCAUUAAAUUAAACUAAUUAAUAUAUCUAUCACCUCAAAUGCCAUAUUUUGGUGGUAACAUUUGAAAUUACUGUUACUGAUUUUGGUAUGACAAAUAAAUUUUAAUUGAUUUAGACACAAUGGCCAUGUGUAUGUUCCCUUUUUAGGUUGGAGUUAUUGGAAAAAAUAAGGCAUACAAUAAAGUUUUGUGAUUUUUUAAUAAAGUUUGGUACUUGGUUUAAGAAAAUGUUUCUCAGUCGUGAAGGUAUAGGAUCAAACCAAAUGUCCAUUAACAGAUGAAUGGAUAAAGAAAAUGUGACUAUAUAUGUGAUAAAAUAUCUCAACCAUACAAAAUAAAAUUUUGCAGCAACAUGGAUGGAAUUGGAGAACAUUAUGUAGGUAAAUAAAUCAAACACAAAAUGACAAAUACUGCAUAUUUUCACUGCAUAUGGAGGCCAGAAGGUUGACCUCAGAGAUACAGAGUUGCAGAGUGGUACCUGGAAUGCAGGCCUGGGAAGGGAGUGGGUAGCUGAAGGAUGGUUCAGGGGUAUAGGGCCGGCUGGAGAGGAGCGAUAACCCAACAUUCUCUAUUGUACAGCAGGACAGCUAUAGUUGACAAUAACUAGUUGUAUACUGUAUUUCAAAAUAGCUAGUAGAAAGGAUUUCGAGCUUUCCCAACACAGAGAAGUGGUGAGUGUUUCACAGGAUGGAGUUGUCAGCUAUCCUGAUCUGAUCAUAAUACCUCACACACGAGCAUUUAAAGAAAUAUGUACAAUUAUUAUGUGUUAAUUAAGAACAAAUAAAAUGAAAUGCUGCAAAGAAGUGUUUUUUGUCUAUGGCAUGCUAGAACAGAAGUAUUAUUUUAGUUCAUGAUAACAAUGAUUUUCCAGAGGAAGAAAUAUGAGAAAAAGUAUAGGGAAGGUCUAUUUGCCUAAGUAUGACACGAUUAAUAUGAUUUCAAAAGACAUUAGGGAUUUUUAUCUAUCUUGUCUUGUUCCAAACAAGGGGAUACAGAGGAAAAAGGAUGAAAAUCCCUCAUAACAAGUCCCACAUAUCGAUCUUGGUUUAACCUUUAAAAGGAAGCAUUCCUAUUUUCAUUAUGAAACUAUAAUAUCUUCCAACUAAGGGAUUCAGAGCAAACGUUCAUUCCCGAGCAUGGCUUUCUGAUUUCCCACGGCCUGUGGCAGGGUGAAGAUGCUCAGGCUGCAGGCUGAGCAUCCAGGAGGGCACAGAGAGGGGUUUCUCAGGCUCACGACGGAUUACCAGAGACCAUGGAUUACCAGAGACCACAUCUUUCCACACAUCCCCAUCACUGAAGAGAUCACUCGGGCUGCGAAUCACUGUAGAAAUGGAGGACGAGGAACAAGCAAGGGGAUGUGGUGCAGAGAUGACUCUGGAGAGCUGAUAACUAAAAAGGCACAAGGCAGAAAGACAGCUUGUGAGAACCCACUGACGCUUCACAGCCGGUCUUAUCUUCUGAGAGCUGGAGAACUCUUGGGUCCUUUCCCAAAGUUCCCUGUUAACUUUCACUGACACUGAGGUUUUCAUGCCACGGACUUAACAUCUUCAAGAUCAAAUAGAAAAUAGUAUUUCAAUCAUAAGGGUGAACUUCAGCAUAACUUGGCAGCUUUCAAGUCUCAGAAGUUAAAUGGGUCUAGGAUUUAUAAACGCCUCAUUACAGAGGAUCAGGGAUUGAAAUCUCUAACUGGUCCUCAGGGCUUCAGGGUGUUACCAUCUAAAGGGCAGUGGCUUUUGUUAAAGCAUGAUUAGCUGCUCCAUCAUUAAAAGUCAUUUUGAUUGUGAAAUGUUCUUGUAUAGAUUUAGAAGAGACAAAACAGGUUAAAAAAACUAUAGCACACUUAGUAUUGACCAAUUAGCAUUAAGUAUUUUUUCAGUUGAAGAGAGUUGAUUCUUAGACAAUAUCAAAAGGAUUUUACUUCACUGCCAUCUUAAUUAAUGACUGCAUUCAAGGAUGUUUUAAAAAUUUGAAUUAUUUAAAAUAUCUUCUUGGCAAUAUUUAAUUUCCUAUCCCAAGAGCCUCUGAGAAAUAUUUUAAAUUUGUGUAACAGUCUGCAAUGACCUUUUAUUUCUUUAAAGGUCCUGGAUUUCAGCUUCCUGCUAAGCGUGUAUCCCUGAGGCACUGACCCUGGCUGGCUCACCUCCUGUUCAGCAUCUGGGCCAAGGCCCUGGGAUUCUGCCACCAUGAGGGACAUCGGAGGCAGUGGCACAUGCUGGCAUUUGGGGACACCAGCCAGAGCAGCUGCUGCUCCGCAUCUCCUGUCAAGGGUAGGCCACAGCAGCCUGGAAAGCCUCAGUCCUCCCUUUUCACACCAUCCCACUGCUUUCUGCAAUUUCUCUGCGGUGACACACACGGUAGCUCAUUUACGUGUGCUGGAAAAGGAUGUAGCAGAUGGCUGAGGCAGCAUCUCUUUGUUGAAUUAUAGUCAAUCUUGAAUAGCAGCUACUAUUACUAUCUUGGAUAUCUAAAGGCCUUUGUUGAAGUGUGGAGCUUAAAUGCUUCAAUAGUUUUUCUGCCGAUGAUUUGAUUCUUUGACUUUUAUAUUCUGAAUUAAAUUUCAGAUAUUUUGUUGAGCCAGUGGCUUGACAAUUAUUUUUCUAAAAGAAAAAGUUAUUUUUCUACAGUUUGGCUUUAGAAAUAUCACACGUGCUUUUACUUUAGGACUUGAUUUAGGGUAUUUGAAAAGUAUAACUUUACAAUAACUAUUACUUAAUAUUACAGAAUUAUGGUUAAGCUUUAUUCUGGAUAUAAGAUUAAAAGGUAAAGAUGAGUGGAUGCACAUUUUGUUCAGGUUUGACAUUUCUCUCUCUCACAGGAAGAGUGAUAAUGUAUAGAGUAGGAGGGUUACAGGGAACUGUACAGAAUGACAAUUCAGGAAGAAGUUGUGUUUCCAAUUAAUGACUGUUAGAUUAAAAGGCCUACUGAGAAAACUUGGGCUGCAUGAUACGACACCAAUGUGCCAAGCCAGUGGAACAGCGUAACGAAAUCCAUAAAACCUGAAUGUUGAAGCAGGCAUUAUCACAGUUGGUAAAAUUGCCAUGGCUGAAAUGAUUAGAAGGAAUUAUGGGCAGUCCAGGGAAAUAAAAUUAAAAUGAAAGGACUAUAAACAUUGUGUGGUUCCAAGUAUAAGCCAAAACAGUAAUCAGGCAAAACUGUAGAACUAUUGAGGGCAAAAAUAAUUUUUUAAAAAUGUGUUUUCCUUAGUACAAUCCCUAGAAUGAUAGAUCUUUUUCCCCCAGAUGAGUGCAGAUUUCCCAAUGGAAACUGUUUACUUGACAAAAUGACACUGUUUAGCACAGGUAGCGUGGAUUUGUGGAGUGGUUGUUAACGUUAGACAGCAUUGGAGUUGUUAUAGUCGAAGUAAUGCGAGAGAUUUUUAUAAUUUGUAUUUCAACAGAACAAGGCUAAGAAAAGAAGUAGAAGAUCGAUGGACCUAAUUUUAAGUUUAGUCAACUUUGAAAAAAGUCUGUUGAAUAUUAAAAAACCCUAAAAACAUUAAAAAUAGAAAUUUCAUUUGAUCCAGCUAAUUCCUUCUAGAUAUCUUCCCAAAAGAGUUUAACGUCACCAUAUUAUAGGGAUACAUGCAUAUCCAUGUUCAUAGCAGAGCAUUUCUAAGAGAGAGAUCUUGGAAAUGGUGUAUACGUCCAUCAGCAGAUGGACGGAGAAAGAUGUGGUAUUUAUACCCAACAGGGUACUGUACUACUCUGCCAUAAAGAAAGAUAAACUUGAAGCAUUCGUAGGCAAAUGGAUGCAUCUUGAGAACAUAAUGUUAAGUGAAAUGAAUCAGACACACAAAAUUUAUGAUUUUGAAAGCAUGUUUGACUUAAAGCUGUGUUUGCAGCAUACAGACAUCCCUCGUUUAGCAACUGAGUUGCAUUGUGUGCAUUACAGUAUUCAAGAAAACGGUCAAAGAAAUAGCCAACAGGAUGACUUUGCUUUUAUUUGCAUAACUCUUACAUGCAGCACUGUAAUGUAUAACAGAUCAUAAAACUAUAGGACUGUGCUGUAGAAGAAGCCACCAUAAGGCUGCACUGCUCCUCACGUUCCUAUCCUGUAAGUGCAGGUCGUUAAGUCUGAGCAGUGCACCUAGGGUGAAGGUCUGAACAGUUGCUAACCAGGUAGGUCACUAAAUAAGGAACAGCUGUAUUUAUAUUUUCUAUUCUUGUUGAGUAUUUUCAUCCCAGAAAAUUUCAUAAAACCUGUUUUCCAGUAGGUAAGAAGUUUAUUUGGAGUUAUUUUUUCACUAUGUCUUGUCUCUUUUUUUGAAGCACAACUCUAAAGGUAAAGAAACUUCGUAUCACUAGGAAGCUUGGGGUGAAUGGACACUGCUUAGGUCUGAGAGACCUGUGUUCAAAUCUGGUAUCUACCCAUCUCAAUUUAUUCCUUGAUAUAGUUGAUUGGAUCUCUGAGGUCUUUUAUUUUUCUUGAAAGUUUUAACUUUCUGAUGAUCUAGAGUUGCUGACCUUUCAACAUAAACAUGAAGGUCUUCUUAAGGUAUAAGAGAAGUAUUUUUAGUUAUUUGAAAAUGAGUAAGAGAAAGCCUUUGAAUAUUUGGGCCUUUCUUGCAAAUUAGAGAGAUUUCCCAUUUUAUCUGCCCUUACUUCUGUUAUCCGUAAUUGGAUUUACUGGAUUUAACAGGAACAAAGAAAUAUUUAUGAACUGGUUCAUCUCUGUUUCUUUCUCUGGAAAAGACAAGAAGAUCAUUAAGCUACACAUGACUUGUCACUCAAGGAGGAGAUGUGCUUUCCUCUCCAGAAGUUCAGGGUUAACUUGCCUUUCUAUCAUUUGUAAUCUCCAGAUAUAUAUAGUCAGUAAGUCUGGGUAAACAGUGUGCAGGAUAUUCAGGGUUUGAUAUGGAAAUUGAGACAGUCCAAAAUGCUUAGAUCUAAUGAAUCAGAAACUUAAAUUCCAGUACCAGAGAUGGGUCUUUCUGUCCCCUUCAGUUGGAUAAAAGUUUUCUAAAUAUUAUCCUUAAGUCAGAUAGAAAGUAUAAUAAGUUUCUAGGACUUAGAAUCCUGCCAUUUUGGUUUGAAUUAAAUUAAGAAUGGGGUAAAGGAAAUUAAAAGUCUGAAUUUAAUUUCUAUAGGAAACAGUUCUUAUUUUCAGAGCAAAAUUGGACUCAAUGGGAAAAAAGUAAGCAUGUAUCUUUCUGUUGAUUUAUAAAUUACUGAAACUUGAAUGAAAGGCCAGUUGAUAGAAAACGACUAACUGAAGAUAAAAUUCCAACUUCAGCAAAUUUUGAAUCUCAUAUACGAAUUGAUCAAAUUUCUGAGUAGGAGGCUAUUCUGAGGGAAGCAAAACCAAGCAAAUUCUUACAAAAUAAUAGGUAAAUCAUGGCCAAGAGAGUGAGUGCUACUGGGAAUAAAAAACAAAACAAAAGCCCAUUAAAAUGUGAAACCUCAAAAAAGCAAACCACAUUAGAAAAGAAAAAUGUUCCCAAGCCACAAAUAGGGUGUUCAAGAGAAACAUCUCAGAAGCCCAGUGACGACUGCACAUUUUUCAGUUAAAUAUGAAGAUUAUCACCCGUGUGGUGGUUAGACUAUUCUUACAAGUAGUUUCUCAGUGCCUAAAACUGUCACUUUGAUGUAACAGCUAACAAAAUUAAUAUUUAAAGAAAGGUCUGGUUUUCAAUAGUAAGAAUAAAUAUUUGAUAUAAAGUAAUUUGGCACCUUCACUUUUUUAUUAAUUUUAUUGGUACAUUUUAGGUAUACAAUAUAGUGACAUUCAUCAUUGGAAAUCUGCACCUUCACAUAAUCUCUCUAGGUUCUUAUUUUUCCCC
Molecule: long non-coding RNA, 29625 nt
Filed under: Heterocephalus glaber (naked mole-rat)
Lineage: Eukaryota; Metazoa; Chordata; Mammalia; Rodentia; Bathyergidae
Description: lncRNA (ENSHGLG00100035565.1)
Source: RNAcentral